CGCAAUACUGAAUCCAGUGAUACUAAGGGUCCUUAAGUCCCCUGUUGCGCCCUUCGGGGUGUUGGGGUGAGGCUGAACGCCUGGCCUGAACUGGUAGUAGGUAAGCGAUGGGGUGACGCAGGAAGGUAGCCCAGCCCAGGCGAUGGUAGUCCUGGGGUAAGCAGGUAGGGAGGAUCGUAGGUAAAUCCGCGGUCCAUUAAUCCUGAGAUGUGAUGCCGAGCCGAUUGUGGCGAAGUGGGUGAUCCUAUGCUGCCGAGAAAAGCCUCUAGUGAGUGUCGUGGCGGCCCGUACCCCAAACCGACUCAGGUGGUCAGGUAGAGAAUACCAAGGCGAUCGGGUGAACUGUGGUUAAGGAACUCGGCAUAUUGCCCCCGUAACUUCGGGAGAAGGGGGGCCUCCGCUGGUGAUCAGACUUGCUUUGUGAGCUGGUGGGGGUCGCAGAGGCCAGGGGGAAGCGACUGUUUACUAAAAACACAGGUCCGUGCGAAGUCGUAAGACGAUGUAUACGGACUGACGCCUCCCCGGUGCUGGAACGUUAAGGGGACCGGUUAGCGCAUUUCGGUGUGCGAGGCUGAGAACUUAAGCGCCAGUAAACGGCGGUGGUAACUAUAACCAUCCUAAGGUAGCGAAAUUCCUUGUCGGGUAAGUUCCGACCUGCACGAAUGGCGUAACGACUUCCCCGCUGUCUCAACCGCAGACCCGGCGAAAUUGCACUACGAGUAAAGAUGCUCGUUACGCGCAGCAGGACGGAAAGACCCCGGGACCUUCACUACAGCUUGACAUUGGCGUUUGGAACGUCUUGUGUAGGAUAGGUGGGAGACUGUGAAGCUGUCACGCUAGUGGCGGUGGAGUCAUUGGUGAAAUACCACUCUGGUCGUUUUGAACGUCUAACUUCGGUCCGUGAUCCGGAUCAGGGACAGUGUCUGGUGGGUAGUUUAACUGGGGCGGUUGCCUCCUAAAGAGUAACGGAGGCGCCCAAAGGUUCCCUCAGCCUGGUUGGUAAUCAGGUGUCGAGUGUAAGUGCACAAGGGAGCUUGACUGUGAGACCGACGGGUCGAGCAGGAGCGAAAGCUGGGACUAGUGAUCCGGCGGUGGCAUGUGGAAGCGCCGUCGCUCAACGGCUAAAAGGUACCCCGGGGAUAACAGGCUGAUCUUCCCCAAGAGUCCAUAUCGACGGGAUGGUUUGGCACCUCGAUGUCGGCUCGUCGCAUCCUGGGGCUGGAGUAGGUCCCAAGGGUUGGGCUGUUCGCCCAUUAAAGCGGUACGCGAGCUGGGUUUAGAACGUCGCGAGACAGUUCGGUCCCUAUCCGCUGCGCGCGCAGGAGACUUGAAAGGAGCUGUCCCUAGUACGAGAGGACCGGGACGGACGAACCUCUGGUGUGCCAGUUGUUCCGCCAGGAGCAUGGCUGGUUGGCUACGUUCGGAAGGGAUAACCGCUGAAAGCAUCUAAGCGGGAAGCUCGCCUUGAGAUGAGGUCUCCCACCACGAAAGUGGGUAAGGCCCCCGGGAGACGACCGGGUUGAUAGGCCGGAGGUGGAAGCAUGUUAACGUGUGGAGCUGACCGGUACUAAUAGGCCGAGGACUUGACC
This 1589-nucleotide ribosomal RNA is filed under the name metagenome. Its description in RNAcentral is "bacterial LSU rRNA". It matches the Rfam family "Bacterial large subunit ribosomal RNA", at positions 1390 to 2925 of the family's 2925-position model. The record is from RNAcentral.